This 447-nucleotide ribosomal RNA is filed under the name uncultured bacterium. RNAcentral's name for it is "bacterial SSU rRNA". It matches the Rfam family "Bacterial small subunit ribosomal RNA", at positions 329 to 793 of the family's 1533-position model. The record is from RNAcentral.
GACCAGACUCCUACGGGAGGCAGCAGUGGGGAAUAUUGCACAAUGGGGGAAACCCUGAUGCAGCGACGCCGCGUGAGCGAUGAAGUAUUUCGGUAUGUAAAGCUCUAUCAGCAGGGAAGAAAAUGACGGUACCUGACUAAGAAGCCCCGGCUAACUACGUGCCAGCAGCCGCGGUAAUACGUAGGGGGCAAGCGUUAUCCGGAUUUACUGGGUGUAAAGGGAGCGUAGACGGCAUGGCAAGUCAGAUGUGAAAGCCCGGGGCUCAACCCCGGGACUGCAUUUGAAACUGUCAGGCUGGAGUGCAGGAGAGGUAAGUGGAAUUCCUAGUGUAGCGGUGAAAUGCGUAGAUAUUAGGAGGAACACCAGUGGCGAAGGCGGCUUACUGGACUGUAACUGACGUUGAGGCUCGAAAGCGUGGGGAGCAAACAGGAUUAGAUACCCGUGUAC